AAGAGAGGAAGCAGAAGAGAGGAAGCAGAAGAGAGGAAGCAGAAGCGAGGAAGCCGUGCAGGCCUGCUUGCUCGGCUAAGGAAGCGGCCGCACCGACCACCACCACCAAGCCUCUUCCUCGCAAAUGCCAGGUUCAUCGUCCACACAAUCUACGAACUGGAGGUACUACUAGCUGCUAACACGAACGUACGCGACUGCUGUGUGAUGAUCAUCACGGCAUCCUGGCUACACUCGCGGAUUCCAGACACAGCAGUGCAGCUACCAGGCCGCUCCACCCACCGCUACGACAGGAACAGCUCUUCCGACCCACGUGACCUUUGGAGAGAAUGAGACCUGAUUCGGAUCUGAUCUGGAAAAAACUCUGGUGAUGAAAUCUACAGCAUAAGCCAGUCAUCAGUAAACCAUCACGACGACAGAUCUCUGCCGUGUGAAAUCGGGGGUGACCCCCGUCCCCGACAGACUCAUCCCUCUGUCACGCCCCCCUUCAGCAGUUCUGGGGAGACCCCCAGCACCGCUGCAGUCUGAGAGCCAGGCAUAUUUUUGAGCUUCUCAGUGCGGCCGUAGAGCAGCUCUGGGUUGACCCCGUCCCAGACAACGAGUUGCCAUACCGAUCUGCCUCACGAUCACAGCGCUGCUACCGUCAACUUUAUGGUUACACCAACUGAAUAAGCUGGAGGCGUCUGAUAGCGGUGUGGUUUUCUCCAGCAGUGAGAAAUGUAUUUUUGAUUUCCUUUCUAUUUUCUUGUGAUGGGGUGAUUUCAUAAACGGUCAAACAUGGGUGAUUUAGCAGCUGGAGAAACGUCGUUUCUGCAUUGUUUGAAUGGUAUAAUUCCCCUAAGCGAAGAUGAAUACACAUAUAGUGAAAUGUCAUUUCCUCAGUGUUCAAACAAUAUUAGCGAGUUGAGUGACGAAGAACUAGUUGUAAACGACCAUUCCGCCCCCUCAGAAACAAA
Trematomus bernacchii (emerald rockcod) is the source of this 953-nucleotide long non-coding RNA. RefSeq lists it as uncharacterized. The transcript is spliced from 4 exons. Lineage: Eukaryota; Metazoa; Chordata; Actinopteri; Perciformes; Nototheniidae. The record is from RefSeq and is a predicted model, not a curated record.